GACGAACGCUGGCGGCGUGCUUAACACAUGCAAGUCGAACGGUAAGGCCCUUCGGGGUACACGAGUGGCGAACGGGUGAGUAACACGUGGGUGAUCUGCCCUGCACUUCGGGAUAAGCCUGGGAAACUGGGUCUAAUACCGGAUAGGACUCCUGGCUUCAUGGUUGGGGGUGGAAAGCUUUUGCGGUGUGGGAUGGGCCCGCGGCCUAUCAGCUUGUUGGUGGGGUAAUGGCCUACCAAGGCGGCGACGGGUAGCCGGCCUGAGAGGGUGACCGGUCACACUGGGACUGAGAUACGGCCGAGACUCCGACGGGAGGCAGCAGUGGGGAAUAUUGCACAAUGGGCGCAAGCCUGAUGCAGCGACGCCGCGUGAGGGAUGACGGUCUUCGGGUUGUAAACCUCUUUCAGCUAUGACGAAGCGCAAGUGACGGUAGUAGCAGAAGAAGGACCGGCCAACUACGUGCCAGCCGCCGCGGUAA
RNAcentral lists this ribosomal RNA (478 nucleotides) under uncultured bacterium. RNAcentral describes it as "partial 16S ribosomal RNA". It matches the Rfam family "Bacterial small subunit ribosomal RNA", at positions 28 to 523 of the family's 1533-position model. The record is from RNAcentral.